ACAAGAUCCAAAUCAAUGUCCUUCCGGGAGAAUUUCUUAAAAUCUUGUUUUCUCUCGUUGUCUUCGGAAGAAGCCCGACAUUUCUUAUAGGAAAUGGAACUCUUCAUAAGUCUGGCCAUGGAGGCAUGGUAUCCGUAACAUCCCCCAAAGGAGCUAAAGAAGAAAUCCACAAUUUACCAUGAGCAUUUCUCGUCUGAAGAUUGCCAAGCGAUUCCUCCAGGACAUUCCUCAAGAUCAAUUUCUGUUCAUCCACCUUGUCCUGGGAGGGACAUCAAUGGGUUUCCAUGUCCUUUGGCUUCUGGUUGAGUUCACUCAGUGGAGAACCCUGGCAAGAGGCAGGAAAAGGGGAGGAAGGUGAAAACCAUCCAUUUCUUGGAGAAGUGCCACGGUGGGGUUGCAAGUCCCAGGAUCAAGUUUUCGAUGUGUCUCUUUUUCCCGUAAAGUGGCUGAAAUCUGAAGCUGAAUCUGCAAGUGUCAUGGAGUCAUUGAAUCUCACAGUCUCAACUGAUAAAAGUUAUUAAAGGUAAAAAUGGUGCUACCCUUGGAAAUCCAAGAGCAGCUUCAAGAGUCAACUAUACCAGCAAUCCCUAAAGCUGGAGAAUUUAUGCCCAUGGAAAAGUCUGUAGCGUUUUGCAAACUGUGAGGCUGAGGAAUAGACCUAGUUCCUGCAGCAGAUCAAAAUGAAAGAUGCAGAAAUGCAGCAACUAUUGCAGGGAUUCCGUGAGACCAAGGACCUGUCUCCAUAGCAGGGCUGAGGAGGAAGAGGAAGAGGAGGGGUUGGUCUUGCUGUCUCAAGAGUAGCAGAAGCAGAAGAAAAUCCAAGUUGGUCAAAGGAAGAGGAGGAUCAAUGGCCUUUUUUCCUCCCCCCAACCUUUUUUUUUUUUUUUUUUUUUAAACAAAGAAGCAAAGUGAGAACAUUAAGCCCGAAAGAGAACUGUGUUCAUUGCAGGACUUUUUGAGGUCUGGUUAAGCCAUUUAUAUAAAGAAAUUACACAGUUCCUCUUUGGUAACCUCAAUCCUGAAAGUUAGUGUGACAGGCCUACAGCUUUUUGUUCU
RNAcentral lists this long non-coding RNA (1056 nucleotides) under Homo sapiens (human). RNAcentral describes it as "PREDICTED lncRNA (TCONS_00121052)". The record is from RNAcentral. Lineage: Eukaryota; Metazoa; Chordata; Mammalia; Primates; Hominidae.